CCUACGGGUGGCAGCAGUGGGGAAUAUUGGGCAAUGGGCGCAAGCCUGACCCAGCAACGCAGCGUGAAGGAAGAAGGCUUUCGGGUUGUAAACUUCUUUUCUGAGGGACGAAAAAAGUGACGGUACCUCAGGAAUACGCCACGGCUAACUACGUGCCAGCAGCCGCGGUAAUACGUCGGUGGCAAGCGUUAUCCGGAUUUAUUGGGUGUAAAGGGCGUGUAGGCGGGAAAGCAAGUCAGAUGUGAAAGUUCAGGGCUCAACCCUGAGCCUGCAUUUGAAACUGUUUUCCUUGAGUGCUGGAGAGGCAAGCGGAAUUCCGUGUGUAGCGGUGAAAUGCGUAGAUAUACGGAGGAACACCAGUUGCGAAGGCGGACUGCUGGACAGUAACUGACGCUGAGGCGCGAAAGCGUGGGUAGCAAACAGGAUUAGAUACCCCAGUAGUC
This 443-nucleotide ribosomal RNA is filed under the name uncultured bacterium. RNAcentral describes it as "partial 16S ribosomal RNA". It matches the Rfam family "Bacterial small subunit ribosomal RNA", at positions 338 to 795 of the family's 1533-position model. The record is from RNAcentral.